Molecule: ribosomal RNA, 332 nt
Filed under: uncultured bacterium
Lineage: Bacteria
Description: bacterial SSU rRNA
Rfam family: Bacterial small subunit ribosomal RNA
Source: RNAcentral
UAACACAUGCAAGUCGUACGGGAAAAUUUAUUUUCCUAGUGGCGGACGGGUGCGUAACACGUAAGAACCUACCUUUUGGAGGGGGAUAACAUCGGGAAACUGAUGCUAAUACCCCGUAAUAGCUGAGGAGUGAAAGCGGUUUUCCGCGCCAAGAGAGGGGCUUGCGGCUGAUUAGCUAGUUGGUGGGGGUAACGGCCUCCCAAGGCCACGAUCAGUAGCUGGUUUGAGAGGACGAUCAGCCACACUGGGACUGAGACACGGCCCAGACUCCUACGGGAGGCAGCAGUGAGGAAUUUUCCACAAUGGGCGAAAGCCUGAUGGAGCAAUACCGC